Non-coding RNA from Bombyx mori (domestic silkworm), 131 nucleotides. The record is from RefSeq and is marked provisional. Lineage: Eukaryota; Metazoa; Arthropoda; Insecta; Lepidoptera; Bombycidae.
CGACGAUCCUGAUCAGGUCACCGGUGAGACUAAUAUAUCCAUGGUGUUAUUUUUUUUUAAUGAUCAAUUAUUUCUUUCAUUGGUCUACACCAUGCAUUUUUAAUCUCAGGGUUCUCUGAAGAAUAUCAUCU